RNAcentral lists this ribosomal RNA (1321 nucleotides) under metagenome. RNAcentral describes it as "SSU rRNA". It matches the Rfam family "Eukaryotic small subunit ribosomal RNA", at positions 558 to 1777 of the family's 1831-position model. The record is from RNAcentral.
AGUCUGGUGCCAGCAGCCGCGGUAGUUCCAGCUCUAAUAGCGUAUAUUAAAGUUGUUGCAGUUAAAAAGCUCGUAGUUGGAUUUCGGCGUGCGCUCAGGCUGGUCGGCCGUCAAGGUCUGUACCGUUUGGGUCACGCCCCACUGUAGGAUACUCACCGCUGUCCUUAACUGGGUGGCGGUCAAAGGGGGUGUGCAUGGGGGCAACUCUGCGCAUAUCUCUGGGGUUCCUACUCUUUUACUUUGAGCAAAUUAGAGUGUUCAAAGCAGGCAAUCGAGCCUUGAAUACUUCAGCAUGGGAUAAUGGAACAGGACUGGGGUCCUGAUUUCGUUGGUUUCUGGGAUCUCAGUAAUGAUUAAUAGGGAUAGUUGGGGGCAUUAGUAUUUAAUUGUCAGAGGUGAAAUUCUUGGAUUUAUGAAAGACUAACUUCUGCGAAAGCAUUUGCCAAGGAUGUCUUCAUUAAUCAAGAACGAAAGUUAGGGGAUCGAAGACGAUCAGAUACCGUCGUAGUCUUAACCAUAAACGAUGCCGACCAGCGAUUGGGAGACGUUACAUGGAUGACUCCCCCAGCAGCUUGCGAGAAAUCACAAGUCUUUGGGUUCCGGGGGGAGUAUGGUCGCAAGGCUGAGACUUAAAGGAAUUGACGGAAGGGCACCACCAGGAGUGGAGCCUGCGGCUUAAUUUGACCCAACACGGGGAAACUUACCUGGUCCAGACAUAGUAAGGAUUGACAGAUUUGAGAGCUCUUUCUUGAUUCUAUGGGUGGUGGUGCAUGGCCGUUCUUAGUUGGUGGAGUGAUUUGUCUGGUUAACUCCGUUAACGAACGAGACCUUAACCUGCUAAAUAUGUCACUGGUAGACUUCUGCCAAAACAGGUGGGUGUCUAGGGGAAAGUUUCGAUGGACUCCGACGCAUUCAUCUGUGGAUGACUACCAGGAUGUGCUUCUUAGAGGGACUAUCUGUAUCAAAGCAGAUGGAAGUUUGAGGCAAUAACAGGUCUGUGAUGCCCUUAGAUGUUCUGGGCCGCACGCGCGCUACGCUGACAAGUUCAACGAGUUUAACACCUUGCUCGAUAGGGCUGGGUAAUCUUUGAAAAACUUGUCGUGAUGGGGAUAGAUCAUUGUAAUUAUUGGUCUUCAACGAGGAAUUCCUAGUAAGCGUGAGUCAUCAGCUCGCGUUGAUUACGUCCCUGCCCUUUGUACACACCGCCCGUCGCUCCUACCGAUUGAAUGAUCCGGUGAAAUGUUGGGAGCUGGGGUCUUUUGGCGGCGGGGCAACUCGUCGUCAGGGAUUCUGCAAACUUCAUUAAACCUUAUCAUUUAGA